RNAcentral lists this long non-coding RNA (237 nucleotides) under Elaeis guineensis (African oil palm). RNAcentral's name for it is "long non-coding RNA (EGUI_LNC078704)". The record is from RNAcentral. Lineage: Eukaryota; Viridiplantae; Streptophyta; Magnoliopsida; Arecales; Arecaceae.
GCAAGUUAGACGCUCUAACCUCACUGAUCCGGGCUUAAGGAUGAUGUUGCAAGCUGCACAUGCAUCCGGCCUCUAGGAGUUGUCCACACGAGCCCACGAAUCUCGAUCAGAAGUCCUGCUUCAGAAAAUCAGCACAGUAUGCUAGUACUGCGCUGAUCCUUCUUUGAUGGUUGAUCAGGUGCCUCCUUCUUCUUGAUUUGGACUCUUCCAAAGAUGGAAAGUAGAAGGAGGAGUUUC